AAUGCUCAUAUCUGAAGUAAACCACUUGUAGUCACUCGAUGCUUUUGCACAACCUACAUUGAGGAGAACAAUCAUCAAGUCACCAUGCUUUUUCAAACUGGAAAAGAAUAGGUCACAAGAACCAUAGAUUGGGAACUAACCUCCUGUCACAAUUAGCUCCAUCUCCUGAUAAACAGCAGGGGUCCAAGGGAGUAGAAUCUUAGGUGUGUCAUCUUUACUGUUCAAUGUGAACUGCACUUUCUCACAAACCAUAAUUUCUUGGACAACUUUGAGAACCUGCUAGAGACGAAGUUGUUAAACUUGCAAUACCAACAAAUGGAAGAGACAAAAGGGUUUCCAAAGAUAUAUAAUUUUCUCACCUCUUUUGAUUCCUGAUGCCCACUGAAGUAAGUCAAUGUAGCCAUUAGCUCUCCUAAUCCUGGUGACAUUGCGUUCAAAAUUCUAGAAUUUUGCUGACCAUAUUCAGAGGAAAGUUCAUCUGGCAGUGAGAAGAUUUUCCAAUACUCUGAAUCUUUUCCAUACAGUUUUAUGUCAUCCGUCUGCAAUCAACACAAAGGAAAUUAUUAUGUUGAACAAAACUGCAAUAUUAUCUACAAUAAAUCAUCUGGACAUAACUCGGCAAAGGGAAGAGAAACUUAAAAGCAAACAAAUGAACAGCAGUGAGAAAAAAACAGCGACAAAAGACAUGUCACCAGCAGUUUCCUCUCUAGUAUAAAGAGACUCAUGACCAAAGACAAGCUUAUGGACGAUUGAUUGACAACUUAAAGAUAAAGAAACUAGUCACCACGUCCUAUAGCUAAAAAAAUACAGAGGCAAGGUAAUAUUGUCACACAAAGAAACUGGUGCAAACUACAUGUGGGCAUGCAAAAAAAGGUAUAAAAAAGAAGAGAAAUACCUCAGUUAUAUAGAUUUCAUGUGCAUCAGGUCUUCCAGAGAAAAUCUUCAUUUGAAUUAGAUAUUGACGACCAGACACCACAUACCAAUGCAUCGAUGAUGGAAAAGGUUUCGAUUCUGUAAUAAGAUCCCCUGACAUUGACCAAGGUGAUAUGUACAAGAUAAUAGUAUCUGGAGUGACAACAUUAAUAGAUGAUCCUUGAAUGUGGCCAGCGACCCGGGUAUCCUCAACAACAACUGUUGUUACCCCCAAGCUUAACGCUUUAGUCAGACCUAUCAAAGAAUCCACUUGAGCAACAGAAGUGUUCAACACAGACCAUCUAUGAUGUGGUGAUGGUAGAUGCACGGCUGCAAAUAAAAUAAACAAUGGACCAAUCAAGAACGGGAUUGGAAAGCAACAUAACAUAGCAUGUCACACUCGAGCUACAGUUACAUGUAUUUAAAAUAUGAAUCAACAUCCUAAAGCGUAUAAUUCUGCAAGUUUAAUAUGAAAAUGUACUAAGGAUGCUCUAUACAUUGUUUUCAAUUGACAUAUGUAUCAAAAAACCUCAGCUUUAAACACACAAGGUUAUCGAAUAACUCAAACAUUGCAAAAUAUCAAGUUAAUCUCCAAGAUGCAGACAAACCUUGAGGAACAUUUCCACGCAUGACCUUUAACGUGUAACCAAAAGAAGCUCCCAUCAGGACAUAGACUGGUGAACGAGGUUCAAGAGACAUGGCCUCUGCCACCGUUAGUACUAUAUCAUCGGCUAUAUGGGUCAGAGGAGCCUCAAGCAGAUGAACUGAAACCUUCUCAUGUCCAAUUUUGGUUCCCUUCACGACAAACAAAUCUGCAAAUACACCCUGCAUUUAUCAUAUCACAUUAGAUCUCUCAUCAUCAAAUUUUUAGAUUCGGUAAUUCACACUCAACAAUAAAUAUACAUACACUAUCUUCAAGCUUUUUCUGGAUAUCCAAGUAGCCACACAGUCCUCCACAGUCAGUCAACGGAGAUUCCUUCAAAGGCACAUGAGCAAGGUGAUGCGUUGAUCCACCACUUUCAGGCAUCAGCUUCCACAUGAAUUGUAGACCCACCAGUGAGGAGAACUCGUUCUCUGCAAAUAGAUUUUAGCAAAUUAAGUACAGAACAAACUGAAGAAAAACAGUGCAUUAUAUAAAAACAUUAGUCUAUUAACUUGUGACUCUUAAGAAUGUGUAUGAUAAACAAUCUCCAAUUAUAAAGCAUGAAUGAAGAAAAGGACACAGUUAAUCCAUAGAAAGCACUAACCUUCAUUAUCAAAAGCGCGGACUCUAAGCAUUGAAAGUCCAUCAAGAUCAAGCUUGAUAGAAUUAUGAAAAAUCUGAAUCCGUGAGAAGUUGUCAAUAAACACCUUGCAGCGAAUCACCAUCCCGGUCUGUAUAUCAGUGGCAUAAACUGCAGUCUCCUUUCUACCACUAUACGGAGAAAUCGAUCUGAGACGCGCGCUGGUCGAGCAAUGACUGCUCGAAUUAAACUCAGGUGUAACUGAGAGAAUGUCAUGAUGAUCCCACGACCUGCAAAUUAAAACAAAAAAAACUUAGAUUUGUAAUCACUUUGUUCACAGAUUUCGAAAUGAACAAGACACAAGGAAUAAAAACAAUUCAGCUUAAGUAUUCACAAGAAAACAGAACCUUGAUCUCUAAUAUCUCAUGACAAGUGAGAGCUUUGAUAAACGCAGCAGACACGGAAUCAACAAGUAAUACAGCUAUGAAUUGAAAAGAAAAAACUUUAAGCUUUCAUGAAAACUGUACAGAAAAAAAAUUAAUGUCCAGUAUCAAUCAUUUGAGUUCUAUAACACUCUAAUGCUCCAGAUUAGGUCGUAUCUCUGGAAUUAAGUUCGUAAACACUAGAGAACACACACUAAGCAGAAUUAAGAAUAAUCCAUUGUGGCUCCAUACAUAAAACACCAAGCAGCAUACAUAUCCAGAAAUGAACACCAUUGCCGCAAAAGCCCGAUGAAAUCAAGUAAUCAUGAAACGAUAUCACAAAUUAAGCAUUCCUUAAUCAUAUUGUUCUGAGGAACUUUGAAGCUCUAUUACAAAAAACCCAGUUAAGAAAAAGCAAUCAUUCCUCAAUCAAGCUCAUUCUAUUCACAGUUUAACAAUUGACAGAAAUUCAGCUAAGUACCAUUUGAAGCAGCCAUCACUUCCUUGAAGGCGAUACUCAACUGGGUUCUUCAUCUUCGGAGGUAAGAGUAUGUUAACAUCGGUAAUGUGUGGACCAGAACCUAAUUGCGAUGAAAUUUCUCCAGCCGAUAGCAGGAGAAGGAGAAAGAAGAAGCAGAACGAGACACGGACCAUUUUUUUGUUCUCUUUGUUUUGCUACAUCAACGCAGACGAAGGAGAGUGAAUCGAAGAAGUAGAGUAGCUUUUUUGAGUGAAGAGUGACCGUGUGAAAUCGAAGAGAGCUUGAAGAUGGAAGAGAUUGAAACCCUAAAAGUAGGGUUUUUAGAGGGGUUUAUGGAAAGGGGGAAGGAAAUUGAGGGAAACGACGGUGACGUGGAGGAAUUCUAUUGGUGGUGAGGGAGGAUUCGGUGUCGUUUUAGCGAUUUCUUGGAUUCUGCAAAGAGGAGAGUGUUGUUCUUCACGCGCCGAUGAGAUUUUGAUUUUUCAGGUGCUCGGAAGCUUUUUUUUUUUUUUUUUUUUCUUCUUGGUUUAUGUGAACUUAAAAAAGCUUUUGGGAUUUUUUUUGUCUUUAAAAGCUUGGUCCCUAGAUUUUUACAUAUUUCAAAAUUUAGCAUAAGACUUAAGUACAAUUAUAAGUUUACACAUCAACGGUUUUUUAUGGCUUUUAUGUUUUCUAAGCAGCAAGAAUUUGCUCUUUAGGGUUAAUUUACUUGAUCAUAUAUUUUUUGUUGUGUAUGCCUAUCUUCAAGAAAGUUUUUUUUUUUUUUUUCGUCUGAAUAAUUCAUGAAAUAUAACCAAGGGAGAAAUACAAAGUUGGGAUACAUGGUGAAAUACUAACGCCGGCGGGACUCUAACCCCCGGAAAACUAAGCCGGCGGGUACAUGGAAACCCCCAGAGACAAAGGCCAAAAAAGGCAGACAUAAAAGAAGGAAAACCUUAAAGUACAGGGAAAUGCAAAUAUCUAAGACUCAAGCAACACAACUGCAAACUCUUCACGAAAAGAAUCUGACGAACUUUCCAUAGAACAUUUUGGGCGCUGGAAAGUGGUUACAAACAGGAGCAACCAGAGGACCCAUCAUUAGAUUGCCUUUACAUGAAAGGCCCGAGAAGGAUACAAAAACAAGCUCACACAACCACACCCCGAGCAGAAACGAGCACAGAUAAAAGAGGAUCAGAGCACAGAUCCUAACCAUCACUACCACACCAGAAACCAGAGAAGACAAGCAGGAGAAGGGACAAGGAGAAGCCUUGAGAUCCGAAGGGGAAAACGCCAAAGAGGGCCAACAAACCUUACACGCGGACAUUCGUAGACCCAGCCAAAACCAUCUACAGCCUAAGAACUGGUUACGCCACGCAAGAGAAGGAAUAGAGACCGAGCCUACCACAUCGUCUUGAACUCAAACCUUAAAUCCAAACAAGGAAAAAGAAGAGAGCUAGUAGAUGCCUUUGCAGGAGACUACCAUCCAAAUGAAGAACCCACAAAACGAAACCUUCACAAACUCAUAACCCCAAUAACCGGGCAGAAAGUAACAAGAGGCAAAACUAGGAGUCAAUAUUGCCAUCCCUAAACUUGAAACUAAGGCUUCAUACCCUCAACCAACCAUACUACUAACCAAUCCUUGUCGAGAAACACCAACCAAAGAAGAGAGAGAUGAGAGAAAUAAAAAACCAGACCAAGAAACGAAACGAGUUCGUCUCCUUGAAACCACCAGCCACAGGACCACCACCAGAACUGAGCCACUACAAUGCCAACCUGCAGACCAAACGGAUCAGACACUAACCACCACCAAGCCUCACCGACGAUGGCUUCCCCUCCUUCAAACGAUCAUCUCUUCAAAGAGGAAUAUGACGACAAGGCCACAACAACACCAAAAUCAACAAAGCUAAGCCAAGAAAUCCAAAGAAAACGCGGGAGAAGAAGCAAAAAACGCGAGAAAGGAGGCCACGAAACCUCCGCCGCCAACCAUCCACCGAUUCUCCAUCUCCAAAAGCAACAGCCGUAAUAGUGAAGAACCACACGGGCUCCGACGAAAACACCAACCAUCCACUGAGAACCAAGCAAACCCAUCACUAGAACGGAACCAACCCAAUCGAAGCACAACCAUCUAGACCUUGUCUUUAAUCCGCCAUAGGAGAAGCCAAAGAAGACCCAAAACAAAGGAAAAGCAAUUAAAAGAUAAACAGACAGACACACCCUCUCACGACUCCGGCCAAGGGCACCGGAAAACCAGAGAGGUAACGACAGAGAUUUGAGAAGAGAAGUUGUUUGGCGGCUAGAC
RNAcentral lists this long non-coding RNA (5316 nucleotides) under Arabidopsis lyrata. RNAcentral describes it as "long non-coding RNA (ALYR_LNC001072)". Lineage: Eukaryota; Viridiplantae; Streptophyta; Magnoliopsida; Brassicales; Brassicaceae. The record is from RNAcentral.